CUCCACUCUGUUAGAGAUGAUAGUUUCGGAAACAGAAAACUGUAUGGAGACCAAUGACAUAAUUAGCAGAAUGUCGACCAAAAUCCGUCUUGCUCCACCUUCUCCUGCUGUUGGCCUCUGGGUUUCACAUUUAUACAUCCGGUGAAAUGUCUGUCUCAUUGUUCUAUCUGUGACUCAACAACAGAUGAAAGGGGUUUAGUUAUCUUAAUCUUUUACUAAAGUAAAAAAAAAGUUGCUAGCUAGUAGUAGUGUAGUCUUAUUUUUUACCAGAGUUGGCGAAAAUCAAAUGAUUGAUUUCAAGACUGGGCUGAAAAUCGCUCAGUUCUCAUUUCAAUAGCUGAGGCAGCCGAUAAUGCAGAUCUGGCGCAAUAUCGGACUCCGGACUCAACUCUGACUCUUGUGUACUCUUGUGUUUGGAGUCGACUCUUGCUCUACUCUCAAAACACUGAAACAGGACUUUGCUGGCCCAUUGGAAAACACCCACUGAAGAACCAAAGCCUCCAAAAGGAAAGACAAUAAAGAAACUUGCUCAAAUAUCCCAAAAAAUAACAAACCUCAGAAGCACAAAACACAACAGGCAAAGAAAUCACACUGUAGUUGCAAGCCCAAGAAGAGGAGGAUAAACAAAGCUGCCAGAAUACAGACACAACCAAAGAAUUUGCUCAAAUAGCAGCCACAAACAAAGAUUUUCCUCAAACCCCAGACAGAAACAAAUAAGUCUCUCAAAUGCCCCCAAUAAGGGAAGUGGACAUGGAGGCUACUGAAACAUGGGACGCAGCGGACAUUCUGACCUACCAGAUUCGGACAUCCUAUGGAUACUUACACACACACAUCAGUGCACAGUACACAAAGACUCCUGUUUCAAUAUUUUUUUUACCAGACGUUUUGCUGAAGAAAUGGUUUCUCUUUAUUUGUUGUGUUUCUUUUGUAAAAUUAUGUUGGUAAAUAAUAUUUCAUAAAACAAUGUUAGAUUUCAGAACCAAGAGUUGUACAUAGAUACUGUAUGUCUACAGUUGAUUUCUAUUAAAAAAGUAUCUCAA
Long non-coding RNA from Oncorhynchus keta (chum salmon), 1040 nucleotides. RefSeq lists it as uncharacterized. The transcript has 2 exons. The record is from RefSeq and is a predicted model, not a curated record. Lineage: Eukaryota; Metazoa; Chordata; Actinopteri; Salmoniformes; Salmonidae.